This 253-nucleotide ribosomal RNA is filed under the name uncultured bacterium. RNAcentral describes it as "partial 16S ribosomal RNA". It matches the Rfam family "Bacterial small subunit ribosomal RNA", at positions 524 to 776 of the family's 1533-position model. The record is from RNAcentral.
UACAGAGGUCUCAAGCGUUGUUCGGAUUCAUUGGGCGUAAAGGGUGCGUAGGCGGCGCGGUAAGUCGGGUGUGAAAUCUUGGAGCUUAACUCCGAAACUGCAUUCGAUACUGCCGUGCUUGAGGACUGGAGAGGAGACUGGAAUUUACGGUGUAGCGGUGAAAUGCGCAGAUAUCAGGAGGAACACCUAUGGCGAAGGCAGCUCGCUGGGACGUGACUGACGCUGAGACGCGAAAGCGUGGGGAGCAAACAGG